UGCUAAUGCCUUCCUGUCUUCAUUAGCUGGUUUCUGCAUGAAAAUAAGAUGUUAACCCCUGUCAAAGAUGAGUAGCCCUCCGUCGAAUAUUAAACCACAUACAAUAUAUUCUGUGAAGAUGUCAUAAGAGAAAGAAUCAUAAAUGGCCAGCAAAGUUGUCUUGUACAGAGAGAGAGAGAGAGAGAAAUGGGGUUUAACGUCCACUCAACACAAACUAGGUCAUUUUGGGACUAACAUACGGUUUCAAUUUUAUUUCAAUAAUUCGCUUGCGCGUAUGGGUCUUUAGCAGUGAGAGGAAACCGGAGUGCCCGGAGGAAACCCACAAGGUUGAGAAGACGCCUCUAUCUCCAUGCCACAUACGCUCACACCUGGGAUCAAAGCCACAGCCACAAGCCAGAGGUGACCGACCAGCUAGAGGUCGAAGCGAAGCACUCUAGGCCAUCCCAACCCCCCUUUCUUGUACAGACCUGUGCAUGUGUAGUCAAUGUGAAAAUGAAAAAAAAACUGUUAAAGAGACCGAAUUUGAUGUUAAUACAUUUAGUGACAGUGAUGAUGAUAAUGAAGAUUAACUUUGAUGACAUUUGAUGUGCAGAGUAACUGUUUAAUUUUGAUUUUCAAUGAUUGUUUCACUUUAAUAAAUAAUUUCACAACUGUU
Long non-coding RNA from Patella vulgata (common limpet), 655 nucleotides. RefSeq lists it as uncharacterized. Lineage: Eukaryota; Metazoa; Mollusca; Gastropoda; Patellidae. The record is from RefSeq and is a predicted model, not a curated record. The transcript is spliced from 2 exons.